ACAAGAUGGCCGAUGCGUCAACACAGAGGUCACUGGGUGUGAUGGGGGAAAAGCGAGGCUGUCGGGGGUUAAUGGCGCGAGAGGGUGUGGGGUUCACACACACACACACUCCCACGCACUCCGGGGUUUGUUUUCGUGCAGGUGUCGCCCGCUCGCACACGGAGGGAAGCGAAGGCGGCGGUGAAAACAAGGAGCUGCCUUCCAGUCUGCAAAAGUUUUCCAAACAGAUCAACUGCAACCGAAAACGGUUUGCGGACACAAAAUGGCGGCGCUGGCCGGGAGUGCUUUGGUGCCACUGUAGAGCUGCAGGAGGGAGGCGACGCUCGAGCCUCCUGGUUUUUGCUGCAAAAAGAACAUUUUUCCUCCUCCGGUCCUUCUGCCGUCGAGCCCGAGCCGAUCCAGCUUUUGUGAGUGUCGUGUCCACACACAGACGACAGACGAGCCGCCGUUAAAAAGAGGAACUUCCUGUUGGGAGCUGAAGCCUCACGUUUAGCGCGACGUCUCAUCGUGUUUUUGACCCCGUGUUGUUGUAUAAACUCGUGUCAGGUUAUGUCAACAUUAAAGUACUGUUCAGCCAUCCACACUUCCUGUAGAGCACCUGCCAAUCACAGGGUGUGGGCGGGCACAGUGACAUCAUCACAUGUAGCCUAGGAUGUGCCCCGCCCCUCGCCCAGUAUGAGCUGGGAGACGCACUGCGACCCUCUGCCGGGUGACACUGGUACCACCGUGAAGAGUUUUGCUUCUGAUUACAGCAACUUUAUUUAUUUAGUUGUUUCUGAUAUGAAAUGAAUAAAAUGUUCAGGUUUCAGUCACGCUGUGCAGUUUCGUGUCGGGCAGAAGAAAUCCAGAUUACGUCAGGAGCUCUGCUCGACGUCUACGUGGUUCUCAAACGCUUGCUGGUCGACAGGGGCAAGAAAGAUUUCAAAUUUUAAAUCUAUCCACUGCUUUAAUCAAUCAUAAACAAAGGUAAAUAUAACAGCUGUGAGGCUACAGAUGACCAAAACUACAAAUACAGAAACUUUAAAAAUAAUGUUAAUGUGGGCAAAAUUACACAAAAUUCAAAGAUUUUGAACUCUAAUAUAAAUUAAUUAUAUAUAAACAAUUCUAACAUUUAACACAGUAACAAUUUUCAGCUGGUUUAUAUUAGAAUAUAACAGGUGUGACGCUGAAUUAAAGGCAGAAAUGCAAAUAAAAUUAAUUUAUAGAUAUAAAAUAAAAUAACACAAAGGUAACUACAGACGCAAAUGUCAGAAAUCCAUUUGUCACAUUUUAUAUCUGAACACCCACACUUUUUUAAUAUAUUUAUAUUAUUACUAUAUAUUUGCUGAGGUGUACAGUGAUCAGGUGUGUCCCUUUUGGGAAACUACUUUCAUCCCGUCUCUCCGGAUCUACAUUGUGGGAAACUUUCCUAGGGAUCAACCAGCUCCAGAAAGUUAAGACUUGUGAGUGUGAACGGGAAGUGUUUAUCUGAACUCUGGAUACAUCCAUACUGAAACUCCGAGGUAAUACGGAGCUGAAUUGAGAGCUAACAUAGUAAAGUGCUGGUUUAGGGGAAAGUGGAAACAGGAUAUGACAGAGUACAAACACCGUCACCGUCUGUGACCUGCACGGUUUAUCUGUGAGCCAGGUCCUAAUCUGCUUUGGUUUUAGAAAAUGAGAAAAACUGGAAUAAUUAAGUUUUCCCGUGAAAAUAUCUCAGAUGAAACUGGAUCCAGAGAUCAUUCUGGUUUCACAGGCUUACUUAAGUCUCACAAUGCUCUGAAUGCUUUACAUGAACUUCGCUUCGGCCACGUCGGCCCUCCCACUAACAACACGUGCACGAACACGGUCCUGUCCUUCAGUGCUGUUCUCCGUUUUGUAUAGAUACAAGUUUGAGGGAACCGUUUCUUAUUUGCGUGAUCUAUUGUCUCAUCAUUCAAUCACCCAGGUAGGAAACGCUAAUCUAUCCCCAAAUAUUGGGAAUUCCUUUGUUCACAAACAUAAAAGUGUAUGCUCUGCUAUUACAUUUUAAAAAAUACUAAAAGAAAGAAUUUAUUUUAUUGUAAAGUGUAAUUUUGGACAGAUGGAUCAACAAACGCAGCUCUAUCAGCUUUUUUUAAACCCACCACACUUCACUCACAAAAUAUUCAAGGUUAACAAAUGCUGAUUUUUUUUCAAAACAUCAUGUUCUUCCUCAUCUCAUUUAUUUCUUAUUUAAUAAUUUAUUAAUUAAUCUAAGUAUUUGUACCUAAAAUGGGCCAAAGCCUGCUCCGUCCACGUCUUGAAUGACCCACGCUGCCCUCUGGAUGCAGAGAACAAGCGUUGCUGGAACCUGGAGCACAGAAGCUGCCGUCUGGUUGUAUUUCAGACUUCGCGUUCUUGUGUUUGCAGAGAAGAGCUCAGAGCUGGUUUCCACUCUGCUGCACAUCCACACUGGGAGCUGCCCAGUACGAACACACACUGUGCUUUUAAUAAUUACCGUCCACUUCCAUGCAUGAUAUUAUUGUAUGUAUUACUGUAGGGUCUACCUUCAAAAUAUAAAGAGCCUCAAUAUUUAAAAAAACUGAAUUGAAUAUUAUGAUCUUACAGCUGACAUCUCUAAUUAUAGUUUAAUAAGAGGUAUUUUGUGAAUAAAUAAAACCUAUAAUUUAUUUAUACUGUAUAAAUAUUAAAAGUACUUCUACAAUAAAACAUAAAAAAAUUAAUAGUUUCAAACAAUUUAAAUGAAAAACAUUUUUACGUGUAUUUAUUUCUUAAACUUAAAACAUGAUAAAGUUGUUUCAGUUUAUAUUCCUGAGAGUUUUCAUUACAAGCAGUAAAAAAAAUGCAAAUCUGAAACCUGCUAAAAUAAAUAGAUAAAUCCCCACAAACACUUUCUUACAUGACAAUGCUGACGGAUGCCAAUAGGCACCAGUAUGGCCCCCAAACUUUAUGAACUGGUCUGAGUCUGGAUGUACCGUGUACGGUACUCUACACCAGCCUUUAACAUUUGGUUCUUUCUCACUAGCCUGCUGCAUUAAGACGUUCUUUCGAGUACUGAUACACAAAAUGUGCACUGUAUGCACUCACUGUGAGUGUACUUUAAAACUGUGUUGCUCCGUUACUGAUUGCCAUCAUUGACUGUGACACAGAGGCUGUGUUCACAUGUACGGGAGGAUUUUUCCUCAGCACAGUAAACUCAAAUGUCAAAGAACAUGAAGAAGAAUUUCCCUUAAAAUCUGAGAUUAUUGUACAAAAUCUGUCACGUAAUAGGACAGAGGGAGACGUUAAACCUUUCUGUAUUUGUAACAUGUGGUAGUGCAACAAAACGCACACACACACACACAAACCUACCUUAACAUGAAUGAUUAUAAUGUUUUUGGCCACUUCACAACAUUUAAGAUUAAAACAGGUCGGUGCAAGUAACAUAUAAUAUAGCAUAAAUACAUGUGAUCAAAGUUUAGUUUAAAAUAUUUGUAAGUAUUUAAAUUAUUUUUAUUCGUUUACAUUUACAAUAAUUCAUUUUGAUAACGUACAAACGUUUUGCUUUGAAUUGUUCUGAACUAUACAGUAAGGAACCGUUCAAAAGUAAAAAUAGUUGAUUACAAGUCUGGAACUUUGUUAAUGUAGAAAAGUGUUCAAGUACUUUCAGCAAAGUAUUUGUACUUUGUAUGUACGUAGUAAUUAUGCAGCAGAACAAACACAGUUUAAAACUGUCAGUCACGUAUGGAGUAAAACGUCUGGUUUUUAUAUCAAUCGUUUGCACUUUUCCAGCUAAGUUGUUAAAAUAAAGUUCAGCUGUUAUGGGUAUUACAGAUGAAGUAAAAUUAAAAUGUAAUUAUACGACAAUUAUUAUUAAUUAUUAUUAUUAUUUAGGAAUUAACGGGAUGGACAAAAUAACAGAAACAGCUCGAUACAAGAACAAUAACCUCAUAAAACUUUCUACAUUCCCCUUUUCACUGCUAAAUUUCACCAAAAACAAACAAUGUUAACCAAAUGUUGGAUUUCUUUGCAACCCGACUCUGAGGUAUUUUUGACAGUUCAACAUCUUCUCUGUCUUCUUCUUCUUUCUUAAACUUUCUCUCAACUUUCAAACGGUUUCUUACCACGACCACAAAGUUGAUUAUUUUUAUGUCUUGUACAUCAAGUUUAAAAUAUUAGCAUAGUGUGUUGGUGUCACAAAAGGUCAUACAACCCCUUUGUAUGACACUAUCAGGAACACUGACCAUAUAACUGUAAUAAAGGUGUAAUGUAUCACAGAAUAGUGUGCCUAAUAAACUGGCAGCUGAAUGCUUUUCACAGAUGCUUGCAGUGUGUUUGUUUGAGUCACAGCUGAACUGUUUGCACAGAGUUUGGUGUGUUUGAAUAAAUGAAGGAGACGUUUUAUUUUUCAUGCCCGCUCCUACAAAACAGAAACGUGUAGAUUAAUCCUGACCUUACAGAUGUAAUCGAGGAUGUAAACAACAUCCAAUUGCUCCUUGGGGUCACUGAACGCAGCCGAGGUCGGCCCCUGAAAACGAGAUUUAAACCUACACGAGCGAUUGUGUGUUUGGGAGUAAAGGGAUCGCUGAUUUUAAAAAUACAAUAACUGUUGUUAGUCUUUCACCUCCAGAAUCGGACUGAAAUAAUAACAUGCAACAAUAUUUAGAGACUGCAGAGCUCCUGUAAUCUCAUUACAGUGAAGUCUGAAAAGCAAACCUGCACUCACAUGUGUUUUGUCUGUUGCUGAACGACCUCAGCUCGGUUUUAAUCCCAUGAAACUUCCUGUUAUUUCCAUUUUAUGAUCCAGAUUUAAGGUCAGAUCUCCUUAUCCAACACCUCAUACAACAACAACAACCAGCACAUGGCUCUUCUGCUUUCAUUUCCCUUCCACCUCCACGUUUUAGACUCCCCCAAACACACCGGCACAAACAACCUCAGACCAUCGGGUGGUCCAGGAGGGAGUCUACUGCCCCCUCAUGGACCCCAACUGAACAGUUCCACAGCAGCUCGUUCACACAUGGACCAGUAUGCUGACAUAUUUGGUCCUGUGCUAUUUACUCUGUAUGUUAGCAACCUGAAUUAAAGCGAACGACCUGCUACAACUUCACAGAUGUACGCUGAUGAUGCCAUCAACUAUCCACACGCUAAACCAAACAGGAGACUGCAGAAGAACUCUGAGUUAUACUGGUCCACAUAUCCGAUCCAUGUUUGCAUCCCAGUGUCAGUAACACUCUGGAAAGGGAUCCAGAUGUGUUUCAGUAACAGGAAAACGACGAUCAGUAUCAGAAAAUAUGAAUGUAACAAACUUAAAACACAGCGAAGAGACUUAAAAGUAGUUUGCCUAACUUCAGACGUCUCCUCCUGAGAAUGGAGGGAAAGUGUUUUUUGUGAUUUCCUUCCUUUUUGGAGCUAAAAGAGGUCACUCAAACACACCAGAUAUCCAGAAAGCCCAGGAUGUGUCCUCGACAACGGGGCAGCUCAAAAGAUAGACCAAAAACAAAUGUGCAUUAAAGAGGACAUUAAUUAAUAAGUUGGUUCCCAUAAGGAUACUGUAGGCUCUUUAGUUUACAUUAUAAACCACUUUGAUGUGACUGCUGUUGUGUUUUGGCUCUAUAUAAAUUUAAGUGAAUUAAAUUGAAUAUUAGGAAGAGUUUGUGUUCUUUAAGUUUGACGGGAUACGUGGUUAUGUGUUUGUUUUAUCAUCCACAUGCUUCUGCUCUUGUCUGUGAAUAGAUUUCUAGAUGUAGCGUCCACAGAUAGGCUGCAGAUAACAAAGAGUAUGUUCAGAUAAAUUACACAGACUUUGAAACUCUCCUGCCUGCAAAGCAGCUCCGUCCAAACCAUCAAACCUGUAGCAUCUGCUUUAACAUAGAACAGCACAAACCUGUCCCGCUGUCUCGUCUUAUGUGGGACUGCAUUGAGGUUUUAGUCUUUUUUCCUACAUUCUGGUGGUGUCCAGUAUUUCCAAGUCAACGCUUCUUUAACUUCAACACCGCAGCAGCAGUCGGCCUCCUUCGGACACGCUCAACCACGAAUCAUGUGCCUCAGUGGCGAUCUGGAGCAGUGAUGGAGCACCGAUAAAGAAUGAAAUACUAUAGAUAAGUGAAGCCGGCGGGAAGUUAUUUUUGCUAUAUUAUUCAGUUAUGCAGAGUUUACUGUGCCAAACAGCUUCAUGGAUUUAAGGGAAUAAAUGAGUGUAGCAAUGCAUGUUUAUAUUAUUCACAUAGAGACUGAGCUGGGGUAAAAUACAGUAUAUUUGUCUGUCACAUGCUGAAUACCAGACCUGUAUCCUGCACACGAGUCACCUGCCACACUGUGGGCAGGGUGAACGGGUCGGGGGGGGGUCUCAGAUCCAGGAUUAGAUCCAGUCUGGCUUAGAGUAGACCUCAGAUCCAUCACAACUGUUUCCAUAUCCCAAUGCAUUAUUCAGGCUUUCCUAUCCUAUCUUUAAUUCCUCUGGGUGCAUAUCCGUGUUCAGCAGUGUAUGCUUUAAUGUUCUGUUAAUCAAUAAUUCAUUAAGUUUGUCUAUAUUAACAGCUCGUGUGGUCAUGUCUUUGUUUCUCUUUUGUUUAAGUGUAAGAAAAUGUGUUAUAGAAAUCACAUUUUCAUUUCAAGUCACUCCUAUUUUUUCUCUUUAAUGAAGAAUACAUCAGUUAUUGCUCGUGUUUUGUAAAUAAAAUACAAGUUCUAUUAUUUUUUGCUCUUUUUAAUAAAGACGUGCAUGCUUACACUG
Long non-coding RNA from Astatotilapia calliptera (eastern happy), 6673 nucleotides. The record is from Ensembl. NCBI's taxonomy places the organism in Eukaryota, Metazoa, Chordata, Actinopteri, Cichliformes, Cichlidae.